Molecule: long non-coding RNA, 1563 nt
Organism: Zonotrichia leucophrys gambelii
Lineage: Eukaryota; Metazoa; Chordata; Aves; Passeriformes; Passerellidae
Exons: 5
Source: RefSeq, a predicted model, not a curated record
CUGGGAGUGGGCCUGGAGAGCAGUGGGGGCUCAGGCUGAGUCUGGAUCCUGCUGGAGGGGCUUGGGGAGCAGCACGUGCAGGCUCUCUGGUCAUGGUUUGCUGUCAGUUAAAUGGCUGAGAUAUGAAAAUGAGAGUGGCCCUCAGGUGCUUUGAGCCCCAUGCCUGCUGGAGAUGGAGCUGCUGCAGGAGCUCCUGGUUGGCUUUGCCUGCAGAAACUCACAACAAAGGGGAUCUGCCUUGGGAAUCACAGGAGGGCCGGGGAUGACGGACGGGCGGUGAAUGAGCCAUCGCUGCCUCCCGGAGCUGUACACACACACACACACACACACACACCGAGGGAAUCGCCGCAGACCCGCAGAGCUCCGGGCCGUGCAGGGCUCCAGUCCCGUGUGGAAUGCCGUGUUCGUGCCCCCAGAGGGGCAGCACCGGGCUGGCCGGGCUGGUGUCACCCGCCGCAGGGACAGGCAGCUCCAGCUGGGGUGCCCUGCUCGGGCAGCAGUCCAGGUGUUCCCCAUCACUGUCUUUGGAACCUGAGAUGCCCCUGGUGUCACAGAGCACCUCCCACCUCCUCCUGCACCCUGCAGCAGGUGAGGGCUGUCCUGCUGCCCACCCUGGGGGGAUUUGGGAGCUCAGGGCUUGGCUGCGUGGUCUCCUCCUUCCAGCUCCUUCCCAGUGGAACAAACACGGGAUCCUGAGGGGCCCCAGGACACGGAAUGCUGAGGGUGCAGCACUGCAGCUGUUUCUGCUGAGCCAGAUGUUCCACAGAGCAUUCCUCUGCACCCUGUGGAAAGGCUCAGAGAUGGACAUUGGACACUGGCUCUGCACAGGACCCAGCCAGCUGAACGAGACACGGGCCAGUGAGUAAAGGUCUCUUUUAUGAACCAAGGCCAUUCAUGCUUUGCCAAGGCCUUCCCUUGAGAUGCCUGAAUAAAUUCCCUGGAUUGACAGGGCCUGCAGAGCAGCCCUGUGAGUGAGAGGGACUCUGCUCAGCUCCUUCCUCCUGGGUGUGCAGCUCUGCAUUCACUCGGGCAGGAAAGGUCAUUUUUCAAAUCCAAGGAAAAUAAUUUUUCUUUUCUGGUGACUUUACAGGCACUGAACAUAGUCUGGAAAUCUCCAAAUCUCCAAGUGGCCUUUAAUUAACUAAUCUGAUAAAGUGACUGUGCCUAAUGCUGGGGGGUUUCCCAAAGUCCCUGGGCUCUGGGAUGGACCUUCCUGCAGUGGGGAGAGCACAGGGCUGUGGCAGCAGCUCUGGUGGAGAGGAGAGGAGGGAUCCUGGAGCCACAGCCUGGGGCUGGCUGGAAAGGACCCUGGAGCUCCUCUUGGUGUGGGGUUACAGCCCCUUUUUGAGGGGAAAAGAGCCCCAGAGCUCUCUGUGCUUCCUGCAGCCCCUGCACGCAGCCUGUGCCACAAACUGAAACUGAGCCUUUUGUUCCUCUGCCUGGAACUCCCCAGCCCUUCCUGCAGCUGAGGGGCUGCUGUGGGACAGACACUGCCCUGGGCCCAGGGUCCUUCUCAUGGGGCUGUUCCAGGCCUUGUGGUGCCAAACCACAGCUCCUGGUGAG